UUUAAUUCGAAGCAACGCGAAGAACCUUACCAGGUCUUGACAUACCAUUGACCGUUCUAGAGAUAGGAUUUUCCCUUCGGGGACAAUGGAUACAGGUGGUGCAUGGUUGUCGUCAGCUCGUGUCGUGAGAUGUUGGGUUAAGUCCCGCAACGAGCGCAACCCCUGUCGUUAGUUGCCAGCAUUCAGUUGGGGACUCUAACGAGACUGCCAGUGACAAAUUGGAGGAAGGUGGGGAUGACGUCAAAUCAUCAUGCCCCUUAUGACCUGGGCUACACACGUGCUACAAUGGUUGGUACAAAGAGAGGCGAAGCGGUGACGUGGAGCAAACCUCAUAAAGCCAAUCUCAGUUCGGAUUGUAGGCUGCAACUCGCCUACAUGAAGUUGGAAUCGCUAGUAAUCGCGAAUCAGAAUGUCG
RNAcentral lists this ribosomal RNA (415 nucleotides) under uncultured bacterium. RNAcentral describes it as "bacterial SSU rRNA". It matches the Rfam family "Bacterial small subunit ribosomal RNA", at positions 945 to 1359 of the family's 1533-position model. The record is from RNAcentral.